RNAcentral lists this ribosomal RNA (253 nucleotides) under uncultured bacterium. RNAcentral's name for it is "partial 16S ribosomal RNA". It matches the Rfam family "Bacterial small subunit ribosomal RNA", at positions 524 to 776 of the family's 1533-position model. The record is from RNAcentral.
UACAGAGGUGGCAAGCGUUGUUCGGAAUUACUGGGCGGAAAGGGCGCGUAGGCGGCCUGUUAAGUCCCGUGUGAAAUCCCUCGGCUCAACCGAGGAACUGCACGGGAAACUGGCGGGCUUGAGGUCGGGAGAGGGAAGCGGAAUUCCGGGUGUAGCGGGGAAAAGCGUAGAUAUCCGGAGGAACCCCGGUGGCGAAGGCGGCUGCCUGGUCCGACACUGACGCUGAGGCGCGAAAGCUAGGGGAGCAAACGGG